Ictidomys tridecemlineatus (thirteen-lined ground squirrel) is the source of this 193-nucleotide non-coding RNA. The record is from Rfam. Lineage: Eukaryota; Metazoa; Chordata; Mammalia; Rodentia; Sciuridae.
CCUGCUUAGACAAAGGCUGCCCUUGGAGCCCCAACACACCCCAAACCACGCUUUGAAGGAUCUGCCAAGCUCACUUUUAAUCAUGAGAAAGAAAUUACCCACAUGGAGACAGCAGAAAAUGAGAAAGUUGAGCUCGUGCUGCGAAUAAUUCCAGCGAGUGCCAAGGGGCUAGUUGAGGAAUGACUUCAUGAGG